This 1351-nucleotide long non-coding RNA is filed under the name Ursus maritimus (polar bear). RNAcentral's name for it is "lncRNA (ENSUMAG00000018544.1)". The record is from RNAcentral. Lineage: Eukaryota; Metazoa; Chordata; Mammalia; Carnivora; Ursidae.
CAGAGUGUUAACAUUGAUUUUCUGGAGAAGGAAAGGCAAUAUGAAUACGGAAACAAUUUUUUAAAAAGGCAUUUAGGGACACCUGGGUGACUCAGUCAGUUAAGAGUCCACCUUGGGCUCAGGUUAUAAUCCCAGGGUCCUGGGAUUGGAUCCCACAUUGGGUUCCUUGUUCAAAGGGGAGCUUACUUCUCUCUCUGCUCUCCCCCAGCUCGUUCUCUCUCUCUCUCUCUCUCUCUUUCUCUCUCAUGUGCACAUUGUGCGUGCACAAAAAAAAUAAAAAUACUUAAAAAAAUAAAAAGGCAUCUAGGAUAAUAACCAUUUUUGCCAACUUUUUGUAAACUAACACUUGUGUGUGCAUAUAAAUGCAUAGAAAGGCAGACCAAGGGACAGACAUCAACAUUAUAAGGGUGAAUUUUCUCAGAGUAGGAGGAUUUCAGUUGAUUUUAAUUGUCUUUCUUUUUCUUUUCAGCAAACUUAAAUUUUUACCGUGAUCAACAUUAUUUUUUUCAUUGUGGGGGAGAAAAGUUGUGUGUGGGGGUCAGAACCAGCAUUUUAAACACACUCUCCAGGCCACUUGUUCGCCGACUGACAUUUGAGAACUUGUCUCCAUUAUCCUUAGGCUGUGUUGUUUCACAUGGUCUCCUCCUCUGGAAGACAUAGUGGGUCAGCAACAACCCGCCUUCUAAUCAGAGAUGGCUGUGCCAGCUGGAGGACCGAUUGCCUCACACACCUUGGAGGCCCAGGCAGGAAGGAAGGUGGGCCUUGGCUANNNNNNNNNNNNNNNNNNNNNNAAGAGAUCUUUCUUGGAGGUAGGCCCUGCGCACCUGUGCCUUCUUGGACCCAGGACUGCCAAGAGGAGAUGGCCAUUGACAAGGAGCAGUUGCUACCAUGCCAAAGCUCCCUGGAAGAGGAAAUUCCUUUCCAACAGAGCUCUCCAGGAGAAGCAGAGAAAGAUCUCCGUGCUCCGAGAUUAGCUAGGAUUGCUGGGGAGGCACGUGGUGAUGAUGGUAACAGCAACAGUAAUGACACACUGUGGGUCUGCUCUCAGGCACAGCACCAAACGCUUGACCUGGAUUGUUUCAUUUAAUCUACUCGGCAACCACGUGAGAUAGGUGUUUCAGUUGUCUCCAUUUUACAGAUGAAGAAACUGAGGUAGAGUGAGGUUAAACCACUUGUCAAAGUCAGCGCCAGCUUUGAAUCCUGGUGGUCUGAGCUGGGGUCUUGGCUCUGUCCAACUUUGUGAUGUUGCCUCCUCCUGGAAGUUCUUGCUGAUCAGCUGUAAACAGCUCAGAGGUUUCUUUAUGAAAAAGGUAUAAAUAAAGGAAAAUGCAGAUAGUCUUUUUUUCUUAAC